UAUGGAAGCUUGCUUCCACUGAGAAGAUAGUGGCGAACGGGUGAGUAACAACGUGGGGUAACCUGCCCAUAAGAGGGGGGAUAACAUCCGGAAACGGGUGCUAAUACCGCAUAGUUUUCUUGAUCGCAUGAUCGGGAAAGGAAAGACGGCCUUUGUGCUGUCGCUUAUGGAUGGACCCGCGGCGUAUUAGUUAGUUGGUGAGGUAACGGCUCACCAAGACGAUGAUACGUAGCCGACCUGAGAGGGUGAUCGGCCACAUUGGGACUGAGACACGGCCCAAACUCCUACGGGAGGCAGCAGUAGGGAAUCUUCCGCAAUGGACGAAAGUCUGACGGAGCAACGCCGCGUGAGUGAAGAAAAGGUUUUCGGAUCGUAAAACUCUGUUGUCAGAGAAGAACAAGUUGGAGAGUAACUGCUCCAGCCUUGACGGUAUCUGACCAGAAAGCCACGGCUAACUACGUGCCAGCAGCCGC
Molecule: ribosomal RNA, 473 nt
Filed under: uncultured bacterium
Lineage: Bacteria
Description: bacterial SSU rRNA
Rfam family: Bacterial small subunit ribosomal RNA
Source: RNAcentral